GCACCGACGGUGGGGACACUCAGGGAGGAGAAGAAGAAGAAAGAAGGAGAAAGAAGAGGAAGAAAAAAAAUAGUGUAAAUUGGAGGAAGAAGAAGAAAAAAGAAAUAAUACAACUUCAUCCUAAAGAGUGUAACUUCUACCUAAAUAGUGCAACUUCAUUUUAAAGAGUGUGAAUCUGACUCCAAAUACUAUAAUUUAUGUCUCAAAGAGUGCAACAUUAUUUAAAAUAGUACAAAGUUAAUUAAAAUAGUGCAACUUUUUUUUAAAAUAGUAUAACACUAUUUUAAUAGUGUAAUUUCAUUAUUUUCUUCCUUCUUAUAUGAUUUUUGAUUUUUUAUGGAAGGAAAAAAAUUACUUU
This 358-nucleotide long non-coding RNA is filed under the name Ananas comosus (pineapple). Its description in RNAcentral is "long non-coding RNA (ACOM_LNC044255)". The record is from RNAcentral. Lineage: Eukaryota; Viridiplantae; Streptophyta; Magnoliopsida; Poales; Bromeliaceae.